Molecule: ribosomal RNA, 429 nt
Filed under: Acidobacteriota bacterium
Lineage: Bacteria; Pseudomonadati; Acidobacteriota
Description: Acidobacteria bacterium partial 16S ribosomal RNA
Rfam family: Bacterial small subunit ribosomal RNA
Source: RNAcentral
UGGGGAAUUUUGGACAAUGGGGGAAACCCUGAUCCAGCCAUCCCGCGUGUGCGAUGAAGGCCUUCGGGUUGUAAAGCACUUUUGGCAGGAAAGAAACGUCAUGGGUUAAUACCCCGUGAAACUGACGGUACCUGCAGAAUAAGCACCGGCUAACUACGUGCCAGAAGCCGCGGUAAUACGUAGGGUGCAAGCGUUAAUCGGAAUUACUGGGCGUAAAGCGUGCGCAGGCGGUUCGGAAAGAAAGAUGUGAAAUCCCAGAGCUCAACUUUGGAACUGCAUUUUUAACUACCGGGCUAGAGUGUGUCAGAGGGAGGUGGAAUUCCGCGUGUAGCAGUGAAAUGCGUAGAUAUGCGGAGGAACACCGAUGGCGAAGGCAGCCUCCUGGGAUAACACUGACGCUCAUGCACGAAAGCGUGGGGAGCAAACAGG